AUUGAACGCUGGCGGCAGGCCUAACACAUGCAAGUCGAGCGAGCGGCGGACGGGUGAGUAAUGUUUCGGAAACUGCCUGAUGGAGGGGGAUAACUACUGGAAACGGUAGCUAAUACCGCAUACCAUCAGAUGUGCCCAGAUGGGAUUAGCUGGUAGGUGGGGUAACGGCGCACCUAGGCGACGAUCCCUAUCUGGUCUGAGAGGAUGACCAGACACACUGGAACUGGGACACGGUCCGGACUCCUACGGGAGGCAACAGUGGGGAAUGUUGCACAAUGGACGCGAGCAUAAGGCAGCCAUGGCGCGUGUGUGAAGCAGGCCUUCGGGUUGUAAAGCACUUUAAGCGGGGAGGCGGUGCCCGCACAAGAAGCACGGGCUAACUCCGUGCCAGCAGCCGCGGUAAUUC
Molecule: ribosomal RNA, 406 nt
Filed under: uncultured bacterium
Lineage: Bacteria
Description: partial 16S ribosomal RNA
Rfam family: Bacterial small subunit ribosomal RNA
Source: RNAcentral